This 669-nucleotide ribosomal RNA is filed under the name Triticum aestivum (bread wheat). RNAcentral describes it as "partial small subunit ribosomal RNA". Lineage: Eukaryota; Viridiplantae; Streptophyta; Magnoliopsida; Poales; Poaceae. The record is from RNAcentral.
AUGGGCUGCGCGUUCUCGUCGUCGCCGUCGCCACGGAAGCGUGAGCAGCGCGCCCAAGGGUACGAGGAGCCCGCCGUCCUCGCCGCCGAGACCUCCUUCACGGUGAACGAGGUGGAGGCGCUGUACGAGCUCUACAAGAAGCUCAGCUUCUCCAUCUUCAAGGACGGCCUCAUCCACAAGGAGGAGUUCCGGCUGGCUCUGUUCAGGACCAGCAGAGGGGCGAACCUGUUCGCGGACAGGGUGUUCGACCUCUUCGAUCUCAAGCGCAACGGCGUGAUCGAGUUCGGCGAGUUCGUGCGCUCGCUCAGCAUCUUCCACCCCAAAGCGCCUGAAUCUGAAAAGACCGCGUUUGCAUUCAAGCUGUACGAUCUGCGGGGGACAGGCUACAUCGAGAAAGAAGAGCUCCGGGAGAUGGUGGUGGCGCUUCUUGAUGAGUCCGACCUAUGUCUCUCCGAUAGCGCCGUCGAGGAGAUUGUCCAUAAUACGUUCAGUCAAGCAGACUCGGAUGGUGAUGGCAGGAUAGACCCCAAGGAGUGGGAGGAGUUUGUCAAGCAGAACCCAGCGUCGCUGAGGAACAUGUCACUGCCCUAUCUCCAGGACAUUACGACGACAUUUCCGAGCUUUGUAAUGCAUUCCGAAGUCGAAGACUACAGUGGAAUCAGCAAAUAA